RNAcentral lists this long non-coding RNA (631 nucleotides) under Piliocolobus tephrosceles (Ugandan red Colobus). RNAcentral's name for it is "lncRNA (ENSPTEG00000026522.1)". The record is from RNAcentral. Lineage: Eukaryota; Metazoa; Chordata; Mammalia; Primates; Cercopithecidae.
GAAGACUUCUGAGAAACUAUAAAGAUUUUAAGAGAAAAAUGUGCUCUUUGUCUUUGCUAUGUAACUCCGUUUUGAACACAGGACUGCUGCCUCCCUUCCUUCCAGGAACCGGCAGCCUAUGUACUGAUCUGAUGCAGAGCUAAUCUUUUCUGAGACAUCCUCUCCUCCAGGGUCGAGCCUCCCAUAAUUUUGCUUCCCUGGGACAUAGUCUUCGCUGUGUCAACCGAAAGUCUGAAAAUGGCCCAUCAAAUUUUCCUGUGGGAGGUCUGCCCUACGCUGCAUACACUGAGGUCGAGCACAGACAUGCUGCUACCUGAGAAAUCCCUGGACAGCUCUCACCGAGUGAAGAAUAUUUGGGAAAUGACGUCCUUGACAAUGAUAAAAUUAUUUUCCAAAAUUAUACAACCUUACUAAAACCAUUCCAGUUAAAAUCUAGAUGAGAUUGACUGUCGUGAAUAGUCUUUCUUAGACUUAGAGAUUCCAGUUAAUGUAAUAUUUUGUAAAAAGAAUAAUUUGUGUAAACUUUGGAAUAGAAGAGACAAAAUAAUGCCCUUUGCUGGAUCUGCAACUGUAUACUUAGAAAAGCAGUACCUAGUAAAAAAGUACUAGAAUAAAUAAAAGACUUUGUUCA